CCUACGGGAGGCUGCAGUGAGGAAUAUUGGUCAAUGGACGCAAGUCUGAACCAGCCAUGCCGCGUGAGGGAAGAAGGUUCUGUGAAUUGUAAACUGCUUUUGUACGGGGGUAAAGGCAGAUACGCGUACCUGGAUGAAUGUACCGUACGAAUAAGGAUCGGCUAACUCCGUGCCAGCAGCCGCGGUAAUACGGAGGAUUCGAGCGUUAACCGGAUUUAUUGGGUUGAAAGGGUGCGGAGGCGGUCGGGUAAGUGAGAGGUGAAAUCCCGGGGCUCAACUUCGGAAUUGCCUCUGAUACUGGCAGGCUAGAGAGUGGGAGAGGUAGGCGGAAUGUAUGGUGUAGGAGUGAAAUGCUUAGAUAUCGGGCAGAACACCGAUUGCGAAGGCAGCUUGCCGGCUCAACACUGACGCUGAGGCACGAAAGCGUGGGUAGCAAACAGGAUUAGAUACCCGUGUAGUC
This 460-nucleotide ribosomal RNA is filed under the name uncultured bacterium. RNAcentral's name for it is "partial 16S ribosomal RNA". It matches the Rfam family "Bacterial small subunit ribosomal RNA", at positions 338 to 795 of the family's 1533-position model. The record is from RNAcentral.